RNAcentral lists this ribosomal RNA (484 nucleotides) under uncultured bacterium. RNAcentral's name for it is "partial 16S ribosomal RNA". It matches the Rfam family "Bacterial small subunit ribosomal RNA", at positions 38 to 507 of the family's 1533-position model. The record is from RNAcentral.
AAGGAAAGAGGGAGGCAGGCCUAACACAUGCAAGUCGAGCGGAUGAAGGGAGCUUGCUCCUGGAUUCAGCGGCGGACGGGUGAGUAAUGCCUAGGAAUCUGCCUGGUAGUGGGGGAUAACGUCCGGAAACGGGCGCUAAUACCGCAUACGUCCUGAGGGAGAAAGUGGGGGAUCUUCGGACCUCACGCUAUCAGAUGAGCCUAGGUCGGAUUAGCUAGUUGGUGGGGUAAAGGCCUACCAAGGCGACGAUCCGUAACUGGUCUGAGAGGAUGAUCAGUCACACUGGAACUGAGACACGGUCCAGACUCCUACGGGAGGCAGCAGUGGGGAAUAUUGGACAAUGGGCGAAAGCCUGAUCCAGCCAUGCCGCGUGUGUGAAGAAGGUCUUCGGAUUGUAAAGCACUUUAAGUUGGGAGGAAGGGCAGUAAGUUAAUACCUUGCUGUUGUGACGUUACCAACAGAAUAAGCACCGGCUAACUUCGUG